UCGAAACCUGCCCGACAGAACGACCCGCGAACAUGUUACAAGCACAUCGUGGGGCAGCUUGGCGCUUCGGCCCUCGCUGUCCAGCAAGGUGGUGUCGCGGCCGAACGCGCACGCCUACGGUUUCUGCCACCGCCACUAACAGAACCCCGGCGCGGACUGCGCCAAGGAACAAAAAACAAACGAGAGCGGGCGCCCUCCUCGCCCCGGGAAUGGUGCGCGAUGGUGGACGCCUCGCUGUCCAAUCAUAAACUAAACGACUCUCGGCAACGGAUAUCUCGGCUCUCACAUCGAUGAAGAACGUAACAAAAUGCGAUACUUGGUGUGAAUUGUAGAAUCCCAUGAAUCAUCGAGUCUUUGAACGCAAGUUGCGCCCGAAGCCUUUUGGCCGAGGGCACGUCUACCUGGGUGUCACGCAACGUCGCCGCCAGCACAUCCUUCCCUUAGGGGAUCGUGUGGUAGCUGGGGGCGGAUUCUGGCGAGGAUCGCCACGACAAGUGGUGGUUUUUUGAACUAAGGACCUCGGGUGUUGUCGUGCGGCCUCGCGGAGAGAAUGAACCUCGUGCGCUUGCGCACCCUCAUAACGAGACCCCAGGUC
This 595-nucleotide unclassified non-coding RNA is filed under the name Viola violacea var. violacea. RNAcentral's name for it is "partial contains 18S rRNA, ITS1, 5.8S rRNA, ITS2 and 28S RNA". The stretch from base 256 to 411 matches the Rfam family "5.8S ribosomal RNA". Lineage: Eukaryota; Viridiplantae; Streptophyta; Magnoliopsida; Malpighiales; Violaceae. The record is from RNAcentral.